This 414-nucleotide ribosomal RNA is filed under the name uncultured archaeon. RNAcentral describes it as "bacterial SSU rRNA". It matches the Rfam family "Archaeal small subunit ribosomal RNA", at positions 471 to 881 of the family's 1478-position model. The record is from RNAcentral.
UAAUACCAGCUCCUCGAGUGGUCGGGGGCGAUUAUUGGGCCUAAAAGCAUCCGUAGCUGGUUCCGUAGGUCCUCUGUUAAAUCCAAUAGCUCAACUAUUGACCUGCAGAGGAUACCGCUGGGCUAGGAGGCGGGAGGAGGCGGACGGUACUCCGAGGGUAGGGGUAAAAUCCUUUGAUCCCCGGAAGACCACCAGUGGCGAAGGCGGUCCGCCAGAACGCGCUCGACGGUGAGGGAUGAAAGCGUGGGGGAGCGAACCGGAUUAGAUACCCGGGUAGUCCCAGCUGUAAACGAUGCGAGCUAGGUGACACGACGCCUUCGGGGCGUCGUGGUGCCGCAGGGAAGCCGUUAAGCUCGCCGCCUGGGGAGUACGGACGCAAGCCUGAAACUCAAAUGAAUUGACGGCGUCAGCUGA